AUCGAACGCUAGCGGCAUGCUUAACACAUGCAAGUCGAACGAGUGGCGGACGGGUGAGUAAUAUAUCGUAACUUGCCCGGUCGCCGGGUAUAACUACUCGUUAGAGUGGCUAAUAACGCCUACUAUUGGAGCGGCCUAUAGGGGCUUGGCUAGUGGGUGGGGUAAAGGCGCACAGCGGCAACGAGCCGUAGCUGGUUUGAGAGGACGACCAGGCAAACGGGAACUGAGACACGGCCCAGACUCCUACGGGAGGAAGCAGUGGGGAAUUGUGGACAAUGGGGGAAAGCCUGAUCCAGCCAUGCCGCGUGUAUGAGGAGGGCCUGCGGGUUGUAAAGUAGUUUAGGCAGUGAGGCGGUAGCUGCAGAAGAAGCACCGGCUAACUACGUGCCAGCAGCCGCGGUAAUUC
RNAcentral lists this ribosomal RNA (406 nucleotides) under uncultured bacterium. RNAcentral describes it as "partial 16S ribosomal RNA". It matches the Rfam family "Bacterial small subunit ribosomal RNA", at positions 30 to 526 of the family's 1533-position model. The record is from RNAcentral.